AGCAAGGAGGCCAGUGUGGUGGAGAGGGUGGGGAAGGAGGAAAAGGUGGGUGGAAGUUGACGUCAGGAGAUGGACGGAGGGGCACAUGGCGCAGGGCCAGGUAAGGCACUGCCGAGACUGUGGCUUUGAGGGGCAGGGUGCUGUGAAAGGCGAAUAACGGCCCCCCAGUGACGUCUACAUCCUAAUCCCCUGUGAAUGUUACGUUAUAUGACAAAAGAAUGCAGCCAUGAUUAAGUUCAGGAUCGUGCUUUGGGGAGAUUAUCCUGGAUUGCCCUGGCAGGCUCUUUAUGUAAUCACACAGAUCCUUAUAAUCGAGAAGGACACAGGAAGCGUGAGUCAGAGGGGCUGUGACAACAAAGGAAGCAAAGCCCUUUGAAGACGGGAGAAGGAGCUGAAAGUCAAGCAGCACUUCAGAGUCAGAAUGAUUGAGUGUGAGAGAGUCCAUGGGCCAUCGUGAGUGUUGAAGACGGAAGGGGGCCUUGAGCUAAGGAAUGCAAGAAACUUCUAGAAGCUGGAGGAGGGCCAAGCUCAGUGGCUCACGCCUGCAGUCCCAGCACUUUGGGAGGCCAAGGAAAUGGGAAACUAAUCUAGAGGAUGAGGAAGAAAUCACAGAAGGAGAAGUUGCGUCUCAUGCUGACUCAGUAUGCAAAUACUCUCUGGGAGACUUCUCCAUCCUCAGACCGCUCCAGACACCAAAUGCCUGGGCCUUUGACCGCCUUGCUAAGAGGGUCAACCAAGCCAGCCAGGGGAUUGGAGAGAAGAGUGUGCCAAUAAUUGGUUUGUUCAUCAAUUCAAUGAAGAUUUAUUGAGCAUCUGUUGUGGACAGCCCUAUUCUAGGUUCUGGGGAGACAGCCAUGAAUGAGACAGUGAUGGCUGCUUUUGGAGAGCUGACCUUCUAGUGGGAGACAGGCCACAGAAAAACAAAGCACAUGGAACAUAAUGUCAGGGAUGACGAUGCUGUGAAGGAAUGGAGCAGGUGCUAAGAACCUACUGGAACGGGCAUGCUUAAGAGGUGCUGGAGAGGGUCAACUCUUGGGUGACUGCUUCGAGCAAUGGGAGGGUGGGGAGCAGGGGUGUUGUACACACUGCGACAGGGCCAGGUUUGCAAAAGAAAUCAAGACAUGGCCACACAAACACUUCUGUGUGACUGUUCACAGCAGCAUUAUUCACAAUAGCCAAAAGGUAGAAAUAACCCAAAUGCCCAUGAACAGACG
Molecule: long non-coding RNA, 1214 nt
Filed under: Homo sapiens (human)
Lineage: Eukaryota; Metazoa; Chordata; Mammalia; Primates; Hominidae
Description: HSALNT0398193
Source: RNAcentral